RNAcentral lists this long non-coding RNA (37634 nucleotides) under Brassica napus (rape). RNAcentral describes it as "long non-coding RNA (BNAP_LNC002181)". The stretch from base 16474 to 16624 matches the Rfam family "U4 spliceosomal RNA". Lineage: Eukaryota; Viridiplantae; Streptophyta; Magnoliopsida; Brassicales; Brassicaceae. The record is from RNAcentral.
GUUCAUAAGACAAAGAGCAGCUAUAGAGACACCAUCUUCGUUCUUGGUCAAGUACUUGCAAACCGGACCAAGCCCGUAAAUCCUCUCGACGCUGUCUCCGCCGGGAAUGGUUCGGUUGGAGCAGGUGAGGAUGGAGUAAGACGUGAGAAGACGGAGGAUUCGGUCGAGCAUGACCGGAGCUUCGGGGUUUUUGGUCUGAAGUUUAGAAGCAAUCUCAGAUGGAGACAUCGGAGAAGAGUUCUUGGCCAUGAUCUCGAGAAGAUCAAGGUCUAAGGCGGACUUUAAAACCAUGGGAAGAACGGAGGCGCUGGCUAGCUGCAUGGCAAAGAGAGCGGCUUCGUCGUCGGUGACUUGUACCGGAGUUAUCUGUGUCUCCGCCGUUGAUCCCAUUUUUCUUGGAUUCUCUAAGAUAUUCUUGGGAUGUUUCUUUUUCUUUUGUUUCUUUGUUUUGAGAGGAGUGUGUGAUGGGUGAGAAGUAGGACGUUAAGAGGUUUAUUUAUAUGAAAAUAUAUUAUAAGAAGGUAGACAAGUGGCAUUUUUUUUUAACUCAAGUUUCUGAUCUAGCUUAAUUACAUGGUCCAAUUGAAUGAAAACAAUUCAGAACUUUUUUGUAUUUUAUAAGAGAGCCCGCUAUUUGUGAAGUAUUUCAUUUACGAUCCCUUCUACAGAAACAACUACACUUUAUUAUGUGCAUAUAUUUCAUCCAUACCCUUUAAACAUUGGAAAUGGUGAUUCAUUAUGCUGGCCCAUACCGACUUUAACGUAUUUUGUUAUAUUGAAUAUGUUAAACUUUCUAUAAAUUUCGGUAGCAGUAACUAGUCUUCCAUUUUUAGCGAGGACUUUAGCGAGUACUUGACAAUUCUAUGUACUGCUAACUUUUGUUUUUAACAAAGCAGAUUAUAUCUAAAAUUAAUCAUAACUUUUUUAAAGUUUGCAUCACUCUUACAUUUAUUAUUCUUACUAAAAAAACUGCGUCAAAUUUUUUCUUAAGUGUUAAUAAGUCAUAUAUAACCUAUAAGCUCACCAUCAAUUUUUUUUCUAUAGCAUAUCAGAUUUUGUCUACUAAAAACUUAAAAAGAAAUUUGUCAUCAAAGUUUUCUAACAAAAAAAAAAGAAUAUAUCCUAAGUUUGAUUUAAAACCGAUGAUAAAUUCAUAAUUGGUUUUAGAUUUUCAAUGUUUAACUGUUUAGCUUAAUUAAUAACAGUUAUACAAAAUAGAUUUAUAAAUAAAACAAAAAACUGUUAAACUAUAAAAAUCAAGAUACAAAAAAUGAAUGAGUAGAUGCGUUAAGGGGAAAAUGAAAAUAUGUUAACUACUAAUUAAGAAUGUGUGGAUUUUAUGUAUCAUGAAAACUAUAGAAAAUAAAUUUAUUAAUGAUCUUAACCAGAAACUAAUACACUAAAAACUAUUAAUUGAAAACUAUCUUAGAAUUAUAAACCGUUCAGAAAGAAAAAAAGGACCACUUUAAAAUUAGAUACAUCAAUAAAUAAAUAAGAAAAUCGCAUAAAAAAACUUUGAAAAUGUUAGUUACUAACACUUUAAACUUUGAAAUUUUUUCAUUAAUACUUUUAACUUUCAAAAUGACAUUUAUAUCACAAAAACUUCCAAAGUAAAAAAUUGACCUCUUGAACAAGUAAAAAAAUGAUGUCAGUUUUUUUUAAAAUAAUUAUUUAAUUAAUAAGACUAACAAAAAACUAAAUAAAAACCAGAAAAUUAAAUAAAAAUAGAAAAGUAAUAAACCUUAUAAAAUAAAUAAAAAUUCAGAAAAUAAAUUAAAUAUUAGAAAAUUAAAAAAAAAAAAAUCAUAAAUUUUAAAAUAAAUUUGAAAAUUCAAAAGUUUGAAUAAAAAAGUUUGUUUCCAUUUUCAACAGUGAUGUCGAAAAUAAUUAUUGGAGAUAUGCAAAAAAUAGUCAUUGUUAAUGGUUAUAUGAGAAACUAUCAAUGUCACUAGUGAUAUAUUUGGAAAUUUUAUUUUCACGAUGAUAUGGUAUAUUUUUUUAAAAAAAAUCUUAUAAUUAAAAAACUAUUUUAAUUUUUGAAUUUUCUAAAUUUUAUAAUUUUUUUGAAAUUUAUGAAUUUUUAUUUAGUUAUUCUGUAUUUUAAUUUUAUUUUAUUUAUUAUGGAAUUUUUAGUUAUUUUAUUUUUCUUUAAUUUUAAAUAUUUAUUUAGUUUUCCGAAAUUUUAUUUAUUUUUUUUAGUUUUCGGAAUUUUAUUAAAUUGUUCGAUUUUUAAUUUUUUGAAUUUUUAUUUAAUUUUUUUGUUUAUUUUAUUUAUUAAAUCAUUAUUUUGAAAAAAAAACUUACACAUCAUUUUUUACAUGUUCAACAGGUCAAUUUUUUACUUUAGAGAUUUUUAUGAUAUAAAUGUCAUUUUGAAAAUUAAAAGCAAAGUUUUUAAAUCUGACCCGGACACUGAACCAGACGACUUACCGGAUUGUUGGGUUACUAGGUCGACCACGGGUGAACCGCGGAUUAAUAAAUAAAUAAAAUUUAUUAUAUAAUAAUAUAUUAGGUAUGUAAAUAUAAAUAUAGAAACUAAAUUUUAAUAUUUUCUAAAAAAAAAUUAAAACAUAAAAUAAUAGUUUGGAUAUGUAUAUAUUUUAUGUUUAAAAACUUUUAGAAAAUACUUAAAUUUUCUUUUAUAUUUUUAUUUUCAUUUGACAUACAAAAUAUCAAAAAGUAGUUUAGACUAUUUAAAAAUUUCUCCAACAAAGUAAGAUUUACGACAUUUAAAAAAAUCAAGACAUAAAAUUUAUAAAUAUUUAAAUAUCUAAUUGAAUAAUAAAUUAAACUUCAAAUACAAAAUAAACCAAAAGUAAAAGAUCAUUGUAAUAAAAUGUCAAUACCGCUUCUGUGUCUGUUAUAGAGAUAUAUUUAUGGUUUUUUGGUAUAAAAUCGAAUAAACCGAAAACCGACGGUAUAUAAACCGAACCGAACCGAAGUAAAUAUGGAUUUAGAAUGGUAGUUAUAUUUUACUAACCAAAAUACCGAAAACCGAAAAAAACCGAACCUAAACCGAACCGAUAUCCGGAUUGAACACCCCUAUAAUAUAUAAGGGAUUAUUAAACAUCAUAGUUUUAAAACAAAGACGGUGAAGUAGACGUACAUAAGAGCAUUGUUUACAUAUAAAAUCAUUAUUACAUGGAUUGUGCGUGUGUGUUUUACAUCUUUUUGAGCAGCUCAAUAACGUAAACACCAAAAGCAUUGCAGGCAACAUUGAUGCCUUUGAAGCCUGAUCCUUUAGCUAAUGCCUCGAACUCUUUCUCGGUCCGUUCUUUGCCUCCAGGGUUAUGAGCCAACAUAAUGCAAUCAACAUGGACUACUUGUUUGGUCGAGAGGCUUGAGUCUGGUGUCUCUGGAAGUAUACACUCUGCUAGUAUCACUUUUCCAUCCUCUGGAAGCGCCUCGUAGCAGUUCUUCAAGAAUUUCACGCAGUGUUCAUCGCUCCAGUCGUGGCAUAUCCACUGUUACAACAAUGAAACAAAUCAAAACGUUUUGAGAUUUAAUUUCCUUGAUUAAUUACUUAUAAAUGUCAAAAGAGUUUUCGGUAUAGGAGCUUUGGUUAUUACUAACCUUCAUGAAAAUAGCAUCACCUUUAGGGACGCUUACAAACAUAUCUCCUCCAACAUGAUCAAUACCUGUAUUAAAUUUAACAAUUAAUCAAAUCUCUUAAUCAUAUGUAAAUGAAAUCAUAUAUAGUAUUGUGAAAUGUUAGGAAAAUGUAAUAUACCGGGAUGAGAAGUAGCUUCUUCAAUGACAUGUGGGAGAUCAAAGUUGAUGCCUUUAAGGUCAGGGUACUUAGAGACGAUCAUUUUGAGAGUAGCACCAAUGCCACCACCAACGUCAACCAAAGAAGUCAAACCCUCAAAACCCUUGUAGGUCUCGAGAAUCUUCUUCAUUGUGAUGGUUGAAUGGUUAGACAUUCCAUUGUUGAAGACCGUGUUGAACCUUAGAUCCUUCCCGUGGUACUCAAAAGCGCUCAUUCCAUAAGCCUUGUUGAAUGGAAUCCCACCAUCAAGAACUGCAUCUUUCAAAUGGUACCUGAAACAAGUAUCGUUGGUAUGAGUUUAAGAAAACACACACAUUCACACAAAGCUUAAUCUAACCGUUUUUAUUUAUCACUAGUUAGGAUAUUUUUUUUAUAAAUUGAUCUCCAGAUAAUCUAUUGAUCAGACUUGAUCCACCUGAGGUUGAUUAUAAUUGGUUAUCAUGAUAGAGCUGCCGGUAUGCAAAGAGAACCAGCCGGUUUGAAAUUAUGUUUCUAUAUUCCUUUGCUAGCUGCUAAAUAAUCGGAAGACCGGUUCUCUUCUUAUUAUAGUUUCCUUAAAUGAUCCUCAAUAAAGGGAAGAACAAUUACAUCUUCUCUAUUUAGAACCAUGAAACACGUUGACAAGAAAAUGAAACACAAAAUAAAAUAAUAAUAAUAGAGUGUUUUCUGCAAAAAAAAAACCUCUACAUUGAAUACAACAAAAAUAUUUAAAGCUAUGAAACAACUAGAGUACAGAGUGUGUUUUUUAAUUUUCCUCUUAUUAUUUUGUAUAGUACUAGCAAACAAAAAUUUCAACGAUAGAGCUCGCUUAACCACUAAAAAUGUUAUAUAGUUUUUUAGUGGAAGCAGAUAUAGAAAACGUGUCAACGCAUCAUUUUGUCUGAUUGUCUAUGACACUUUGUGGCCGAGUCUCUCUCAUCUUUACCUUUGCACAAUUCAAUUUUAAUCAUCACAUGAUUCACAUCAACCAAGAACCAUAGCUUAUGAAACAAAAUUAUCAAAGAAGAAGCUUUUUUUUUCUAACUUGAUAUAGCCACAAGAUCUAUCCAAUGAAGAUGUCUUGGUAAUAUCUUAAAAAACUUACCAGCUUUCCAUGAGAACCUUGUCUUGGUUCAUAAGACAAAGAGCAGCUAUAGAGACACCAUCUUCGUUCUUGGUCAAGUACUUGCAAACCGGACCAAGCCCGUAAAUCCUCUCGACGCUGUCUCCGCCGGGAAUGGUUCGGUUGGAGCAGGUGAGGAUGGAGUAAGACGUGAGAAGACGGAGGAUUCGGUCGAGCAUGACCGGAGCUUCGGGGUUUUUGGUCUGAAGUUUAGAAGCAAUCUCAGAUGGAGACAUCGGAGAAGAGUUCUUGGCCAUGAUCUCGAGAAGAUCAAGGUCUAAGGCGGACUUUAAAACCAUGGGAAGAACGGAGGCGCUGGCUAGCUGCAUGGCAAAGAGAGCGGCUUCGUCGUCGGUGACUUGUACCGGAGUUAUCUGUGUCUCCGCCGUUGAUCCCAUUUUUCUUGGAUUCUCUAAGAUAUUCUUGGGAUGUUUCUUUUUCUUUUGUUUCUUUGUUUUGAGAGGAGUGUGUGAUGGGUGAGAAGUAGGACGUUAAGAGGUUUAUUUAUAUGAAAAUAUAUUAUAAGAAGGUAGACAAGUGGCAUUUUUUUUUAACUCAAGUUUCUGAUCUAGCUUAAUUACAUGGUCCAAUUGAAUGAAAACAAUUCAGAACUUUUUUGUAUUUUAUAAGAGAGCCCGCUAUUUGUGAAGUAUUUCAUUUACGAUCCCUUCUACAGAAACAACUACACUUUAUUAUGUGCAUAUAUUUCAUCCAUACCCUUUAAACAUUGGAAAUGGUGAUUCAUUAUGCUGGCCCAUACCGACUUUAACGUAUUUUGUUAUAUUGAAUAUGUUAAACUUUCUAUAAAUUUCGGUAGCAGUAACUAGUCUUCCAUUUUUAGCGAGGACUUUAGCGAGUACUUGACAAUUCUAUGUACUGCUAACUUUUGUUUUUAACAAAGCAGAUUAUAUCUAAAAUUAAUCAUAACUUUUUUAAAGUUUGCAUCACUCUUACAUUUAUUAUUCUUACUAAAAAAACUGCGUCAAAUUUUUUCUUAAGUGUUAAUAAGUCAUAUAUAACCUAUAAGCUCACCAUCAAUUUUUUUUCUAUAGCAUAUCAGAUUUUGUCUACUAAAAACUUAAAAAGAAAUUUGUCAUCAAAGUUUUCUAACAAAAAAAAAAGAAUAUAUCCUAAGUUUGAUUUAAAACCGAUGAUAAAUUCAUAAUUGGUUUUAGAUUUUCAAUGUUUAACUGUUUAGCUUAAUUAAUAACAGUUAUACAAAAUAGAUUUAUAAAUAAAACAAAAAACUGUUAAACUAUAAAAAUCAAGAUACAAAAAAUGAAUGAGUAGAUGCGUUAAGGGGAAAAUGAAAAUAUGUUAACUACUAAUUAAGAAUGUGUGGAUUUUAUGUAUCAUGAAAACUAUAGAAAAUAAAUUUAUUAAUGAUCUUAACCAGAAACUAAUACACUAAAAACUAUUAAUUGAAAACUAUCUUAGAAUUAUAAACCGUUCAGAAAGAAAAAAAGGACCACUUUAAAAUUAGAUACAUCAAUAAAUAAAUAAGAAAAUCGCAUAAAAAAACUUUGAAAAUGUUAGUUACUAACACUUUAAACUUUGAAAUUUUUUCAUUAAUACUUUUAACUUUCAAAAUGACAUUUAUAUCACAAAAACUUCCAAAGUAAAAAAUUGACCUCUUGAACAAGUAAAAAAAUGAUGUCAGUUUUUUUUAAAAUAAUUAUUUAAUUAAUAAGACUAACAAAAAACUAAAUAAAAACCAGAAAAUUAAAUAAAAAUAGAAAAGUAAUAAACCUUAUAAAAUAAAUAAAAAUUCAGAAAAUAAAUUAAAUAUUAGAAAAUUAAAAAAAAAAAAAUCAUAAAUUUUAAAAUAAAUUUGAAAAUUCAAAAGUUUGAAUAAAAAAGUUUGUUUCCAUUUUCAACAGUGAUGUCGAAAAUAAUUAUUGGAGAUAUGCAAAAAAUAGUCAUUGUUAAUGGUUAUAUGAGAAACUAUCAAUGUCACUAGUGAUAUAUUUGGAAAUUUUAUUUUCACGAUGAUAUGGUAUAUUUUUUUAAAAAAAAUCUUAUAAUUAAAAAACUAUUUUAAUUUUUGAAUUUUCUAAAUUUUAUAAUUUUUUUGAAAUUUAUGAAUUUUUAUUUAGUUAUUCUGUAUUUUAAUUUUAUUUUAUUUAUUAUGGAAUUUUUAGUUAUUUUAUUUUUCUUUAAUUUUAAAUAUUUAUUUAGUUUUCCGAAAUUUUAUUUAUUUUUUUUAGUUUUCGGAAUUUUAUUAAAUUGUUCGAUUUUUAAUUUUUUGAAUUUUUAUUUAAUUUUUUUGUUUAUUUUAUUUAUUAAAUCAUUAUUUUGAAAAAAAAACUUACACAUCAUUUUUUACAUGUUCAACAGGUCAAUUUUUUACUUUAGAGAUUUUUAUGAUAUAAAUGUCAUUUUGAAAAUUAAAAGCAAAGUUUUUAAAUCUGACCCGGACACUGAACCAGACGACUUACCGGAUUGUUGGGUUACUAGGUCGACCACGGGUGAACCGCGGAUUAAUAAAUAAAUAAAAUUUAUUAUAUAAUAAUAUAUUAGGUAUGUAAAUAUAAAUAUAGAAACUAAAUUUUAAUAUUUUCUAAAAAAAAAUUAAAACAUAAAAUAAUAGUUUGGAUAUGUAUAUAUUUUAUGUUUAAAAACUUUUAGAAAAUACUUAAAUUUUCUUUUAUAUUUUUAUUUUCAUUUGACAUACAAAAUAUCAAAAAGUAGUUUAGACUAUUUAAAAAUUUCUCCAACAAAGUAAGAUUUACGACAUUUAAAAAAAUCAAGACAUAAAAUUUAUAAAUAUUUAAAUAUCUAAUUGAAUAAUAAAUUAAACUUCAAAUACAAAAUAAACCAAAAGUAAAAGAUCAUUGUAAUAAAAUGUCAAUACCGAAAAUAAGCUAACACCAAAUCACAUCAACUAAUUUUGGUUCUCUCUACCAUCGUUCACUUCAUUUUCUUCAGGUGGCAUAGUGAAAUUGAAAUCUUCAUCAAAAUCUAAAAAUCACAAAUUUAAAACUGAAAAAGGAAAACCUAACUUUUUUUUUGUGAGCACCUAACUUCUUAAUUGUAAACUUAAAAUAUAAAACAUAUUCUAAAAACUUAAUUUAAAACUUAAAAAAAUGAAGUCAAAUUUUUUAUUAGUUCGACCGGUGGUUCAACCGGUAUCGGGUUCUGAGUUUUACUGGGUUUUUGCAGGUUUUUAUAAAACCCAAACCGGAUUUUUUGGGUCACCGAGUUUACCGGUUCAACCGCAGAUCGGGAUUAGGUUUUAAAACACUGGUUAAAAAUAUUACUGAAAAAACUUUAAAGUUUAAAAUGUGAGUAAAUUACAUUUUUAACGUUUUUUAUGCGAUUUUCUCAUAAAUAAACUCAUAAAAGGAAAAAUGAACGAGGCUCGACACUUGAGAAGACUAUACAAAUGUAAGUGGGACAGAUGGUAUGGUGGGUAGAGCCGACACGCCAUUUCUAAUUAAUUGCAACCCACUUUUGCUUAAUAUCGUAUCAUUUUAUUCAACGCUAAAUCAUUUCAUCGACAUUUUGCUUUCAUAGAAUGUUUAGAAACAAUGGAUUGGAAAGUUUAACCUAAUACAUUGAAUUAAUUUACAUUAAUAAAUAUAUAAUUAUUUAUGAAAAAGUUCGGUACAAGAUUCUUCUUCUCAGUUGUGAACUACGUAGUAUUUUAGCUAGGGAUGGUCACAAACAUUUGUCUCGUCAUAUUUUGUUGUUUUCAACCAAUUUCGAUCCAAAAUUCUUGUUUCAUAUAAAAAUUCAUUUUCAAAAUAUAGCAAGAUGAUAUGUAUUACAUAUUUAUUUGAGAAAAAAACUUUGAGAAUAUCAUCUUGCUAUAUUUUGAACUGGGUAAGUAUUUUUAUAACAAAAAUAUCAAAGAUAAUUCAUUCUAAAUAUCGGUUACAAUUAAAAAUGCCGUUGCAAGUAAUAAUUUGUUUGUUGCAAAAAAAGUAAUAAUUUGUUAAUUAUUUAAGUUGUAGCUGGUUGUAUAUGUCCUCAAUUUUUUUUGACCGAAUUGUUUUUUUUAUAUUCAUUCACACCAACCACACCAACCAUUCUCACCUACUCCUUUGAAUUGAAAUGGAUAUAGGACCACCAGUCUCUGACGUACAUGUAUUAUGUUCGCUUAUUAUUAGAUAUGUUUUCUCAAAUUGGUAAUUUCAUUCAUUUAAUUAGAAAAUCGUGUUAUAUAUAAACGGGUUAAAUAGUAGAAUUUUUUUUAAUUAAACAUUUAAAUAUGAUAUAUGUCUAUUGAAAUUGAUAGUGUUUUUCUAAUCAGUUGUUAGCUUUGUUUUCCAAAGAACACUUUGUUUUAUAUUAAAAAGGUCAAAAGUAUAGCAUAUUUUUAUAUAAAACCCAUCGUACUAUUAAAAUCCUCCAAAGGAUAUGAACAGCUUCACACUGAGAUAAUUUAGGUUAAAUCUGUGUGAGAAACCAGUUCUAAAUUAUGAUUGGAUCAUAAAUAAUGUUUGAUAUCGGUUUAAUGAAAUUAAUAUACUUUUUAUUAUUAUUUUAAUUAAUUAAUGUGAAAUUAUAAAUUUGUAUCAAUUAUCUCAAUUUUUUAGAAAUUAUAAAUUUGUAUCAAUUAUCUCAAUUCAGAAAUUAUAAAACAUUUAGUCAAAAUGAGUCUAUAAUAGCAAUUUGGAAAGAAACAAAAAUCAGAUAUCUUAAUUUUAAAGUUCUAUUUAAAAUAAAAAGAAGAAUCCAAAGUCCUACCUACUACCGUGUUAGUGAUACGUCAUGAUCAAAGAACGUUCAUUUGUAUCAAUUAAAGGAUAAUAAAACAGUGUUAUCGAUGUAAUCUUUUACCUUUUUGGCACCUAAAUGAAUUGUAAGUAAAAUAAAUGGAAACACGAAAUGAGGUGUUCAUCCUCUUUUCUUUUUUUUUGAGUUGUAGAUCCUUUUGGUUGGUUGUUCGACAUGAAACUUAUACAACUAAUGACUCAGAACUUUUGGUAUCCCGUAUCCGUGAAUAGAAAUAAGUGUACGAGCAAACGUAUUUAUAUAUACUUGUAUGGGUUCUUUUGGUAAUGAUCAAUGUUAAGAACUUGUAUGAUUUUUAUUUUCUCUAAGCUCGUUUUAAUUUCUUCGUUGAUUUUGACAUUUUUGAACGAACUUAAACUUACGAAAAAUAUUGUUUGAAUAAUAAAAGAAAUUCUCAGGUUUAUAGAAAUUAAUACCAAAACGGUCGACUAUGGUUAAAAACAGAUUAGUGUAUGAGCUUAGAAAGCUAAAUGUAGCUAAACAUUUGACCGCUUAUUUUUCUAGUUUUUCUUCGCAACAAUCAUAAAUAAAUCGGUGAGAUAUACAUAAACGAUAAACUAGCCACAAAAUUUAGAUAUAAAAAAGUGUUUAACAAAAGAUGGUUAAGUUGCAUUUAGACAAAAUUUCGUAUUGUGCAGUUUGUGUAUUAAAAUAUAUAGUAUUAAAAAUUUAGGGUAUCAAAAUUUAUUUGAAAAGAAAUUCAAUUUCUUUCAUAAACUAGCCUUUAGACCACUGUAUCAGUCUUACGGUCAGUGUUAAUUUGAGAUUUGGAAGGAAUGAAAUUUGAUAAAAAUAUCCAUAAUUCCAACAGAUAAUCUAUCAUAAAAUCAUAGCAUAUACCACAAGUGAAAUUCUAUAGCUGAAGCCCUAAGCCAUAUAUUCAGUUUGAUUAGCUGAAACCUUAGUCUGUGUCAUUCUCAGAAUGAAGCGCGGUUUUGUAAUUGGUUCAAAGGUUAGUUUACAUUUCUUUGUACGUUAAUAUGGUUCUUCGUAAAGUUGUUUCAGCGUAAUUAUUUGCAAAAUUUCCUUAUCAUAUCAUUAUCAACCAGCCAAGUUUCAGUCAUUAACAUGCCUCUGAGAGGAGGUUAUUUGAAGGUAUUUUUGGAAAAUUUCCAUAUUAUCAUAACAACCAACCAAAUUCCAAUCGGUUGAGUGAACCAAACUGAUUCAGAUAUCUUUUAUAUUUGUAGUUUUGGGAAAAUAACUGGGCCUAAUUAUUAUGGGCCAAGGGCUAACGUGACUAAAGCAAGAAGUUAGAAAGUCGGAAACAACUGUUGUAGAGGAAGAGAAACGUUUGGACUCUCACUCUUUUUCCUUUUCGAUCUAUGCAAGUUGAGAGAGAAAAUGGAGACGAAUAAAGAAGAAAUGGCUCCUCUCAGAGGCAUACUAUGUCUGAAAAACAGUCAAGACAUGAAGAAAAUCGAGGAGACAGAGGACUGCUUCAUUCUAGAUUGUGACACUUUGGAUCCUUUCGACUUUAAAAUAGAGAUCAAGAAAGAAGUAACUCCCCUCAGAAACAUAUUAUGUCUGAAAAACAGACAAGACAUGAAGAGAAUCGAGGAGACAGAAGACUGCUUCAUUCUUGAUUUCGACCCUUUUGAUUCUUUCGACUUUAAAAAACUCUCAGUCUCCAGUGAUGGUGAUAAAGAUCUGGAUAUUAUCCAUGAGACAGGCCAGGUCUUAGUUUUGAAGUUUAGGGAUUACUUCUAGGUUUAUCUCUAUUUUUGCUCUAACUUUAUUUUUUGAAAAUGUGAUGGAAUCUCAGGUGGCUUGUAGGGAUUACCCACAUCCAAGACACCUUUGCUUGACUUUUCCCUUUGGAUCAACUCCUAAUGCAACCCAUUGUCGUCUGGUAAUUACUUGUCUCUUUCUUUUUAAAAGGAUUUAAGGAAAAAAUAAGUAUGAAAUGGCUUAACUUGGUGUUCAAGUAUCUAUGAAACUGUCUUUUCCUCCUUUUGAUAUGGCAAGUAUUUUAACUAUAGAGAUUAACAUGAAUGAAUAUAUGCAGUGUUACUGUUGCGUCUGCGAUAAGCCUGCACCUUGUGCACAAUGGAUGUCGCAUUGCAAUACUUCAGAGGACUCUAUGGUGCGGAAGCUACCGACCCCUGAGAGCCAGAGCUUCUAUUACUCCGAUUAAUAUCAUCUUUUUGUUGACAGUUUCUCCCUUGCGUUUUCACAUCUUUGAAUGAGUAGUAGAUCAACAUAGCCUUGGAAGACUAUGGAUUAACAAUGCAUAACUAUUUAGUAUGAUAUUUUUAUGGGUGAUUUGCUAGGCUAUAUUGUUUCUUGCUGAGGAUUCGGUUACAAACCUCGGUAAAACGGGUCAUAUGUGCCUAAAGUUCAUAAAAUUGAAAGCACAAAGCAAAUUUAUAUGCCUAAAGCUUUGUGCCACAUAAAAUAGAGGAUUGUUGAUUUGUUUCAAUAUUUCUGUAGUUACAUAAUUUUGUUCCAAAUAAACACAAACCAUAUUCAUAUAACCACAAAAAAAAAUCAGAAAUUCAGAACCAAACCAAGCAUUUCCGAGAAUAUAUAUAACUUCCAUGUUCAAAUACCAAAGUCCCUAGAUUGAGUAGAUGAGGCAUGCCGCAUGCAUGUUACUAACUUACUAUGUUAGCAGUGUAAGGUGUGAUCAAUGAUCAUGAUGAUUGUAUGUGGACAUGAGCAUUAUAUAUGUGUAUGAGAUUCGAUCAUGUUGCAUUUUUCAAUACUCAACUGCCCAUGUUGCUUAUCCGGAAGGGUUCAGUUUCUAAUCUAUCGUCAACAAAUCUGUUUAUGUAAUUUGUACGUCUAGUUCUAUCAAUUCGUUCUUUUAAAAUCCUAUCUUGUAAUUUUAUGCACUUUAUAUUUUAGUUCAUAUUGAAAUAUUAGUGUAAAGCUCUUAUUUCUAAUUUUUCCAAUAAAGGAUAUACAUGUGACAUUCUUAUCUUAAAACCAUGUCAUAACUCAUAAUCUUAUAAUUAGAAUCAGAUAAACGUACAAGAAGGUUCAUAAUGAACCAUCCGCGUUGACCAAAAAAAAAAACCCAUCCGUAGGCAGGUCAUUAGCUUUAAUUUUGCUUUGGGGUCAAGCAAAUAAUCCAAACAAUUUGUUUUUUCUUUUUUGCCUCUUCUCCAAGUUCUUUCUUUUCCAUGGGUAUAUAUAUAUAUGUAUGUAUAGCCUGUCGAAGAAAAUGAAAAAGAGAUUUCAAAAUCAAAUAAAAAGAUUUAAGAGAGUUUUAGUUUGUUGAGCUUCUUCCCCUUCCCAGAGUUAGUUACACAAAAAGAUGAUGAUCCGUUCAAGAACCGCAGCUACCACCGCCGCUAGAUCCUUGGGCUACCUCCGUCACUCUUCGGCUCUCGUUCACUCUCCCCUCCUCUCCGGCGCCACCGCCACCACUCCCUCCGUCCGCCACUUCACCUCUCCCGUCAACAGGUAAAAUCUAAAGCUCAGGGUUUCGUAAUCUCUCUGCGGAAUGUGAAUGGAUUAGUCUAGCUUAGAGCUCGAUUUGGUUGGUGAUAUGUUAGUUAAUCGUCUUCUUCUUUGUUAUAUAUAGCUACCAAAUCAAGCCGCCGGUGAACUGGGGAAUCCGAAUCGUCCCGGAGAAGAGAGCCUGCGUGAUUGAGCGGUUCGGCAAAUACGUCAAGACGUUGGAGUCCGGGAUCCACUUCCUCGUCCCCGGCGUGGAUCGAAUCGCCUACGUGCAUUCGCUCAAGGAGGAAGCGAUUCCGAUUGGGAACCAGACUGCGAUUACGAAGGAUAACGUCAGCAUCCACAUCGAUGGCGUUCUUUACGUCAAGGUUUGUUAUCGUUAUCUUUACUUCUUUGAAUUACUUUUUAGAUCUAUGCUGAGUUUUUUUUUUUUUUUUUUUUUGCAGAUUGUGAAUCCGCAUCUGGCGUCUUACGGCGUUGAGAAUCCGAUCUACGCUGUUAUGCAGUUGGCUCAGACCACUAUGCGUAGUGAACUUGGGAAGAUUACUCUUGACAAGACUUUUGAGGAACGAGAUGCGUUGAAUGUCAAGAUUGUGGUUCGUUUUCUUUGCUUUUGGUCAUGUUUAGUGCUUAAAGAUUGCAGUUUGUUUAGCUUUUUUGAUUGUUUAGUCAUUGCUGGAUCUGAGUUUAGUUGAUAAGUGUUUGUAUAAUGCAGCUGGAGAAUGCAUUCGUAGUUUAAUGUACUGAAUAUUACAAGCAUGUGAUGAUUCUGUGACGCUGAAUGAAAAGAAUGUAGUGCAUUUUCUUUUGCCUUAACUUGAGCUUAGUUUCGAAUUGAACAGUUUGCAGUUUGCUUAGCUUUUUGGUUCUUUUAACUGUUUUCUGAGUCUGAGUUUAGUUUUUGUUAGAUAAGAGUAUGUAAAAUGCAGCUGUUUAAUGUAUUGAAUAUUAUUACAAGCAUGUGAUUGUUUUGAGAUGGAAUGAUUCUUGCAGGAAGCAAUCAAUGUUGCUGCUAAAGAUUGGGGUCUUGAGUGCCUUCGUUAUGAGAUAAGUGAGUACUUUUUUCUCUGUUUUGACUCUUUUGGUGGAUUCUCUUGUUUGGCUAUUUCUAAGUACAUGUGUUGUUGUAUUCCAGGGGAUAUCAUGCCUCCUAAUGGAGUGAGGGUUGCUAUGGAGAUGCAAGCUGAAGCUGAACGUAAAAAGAGAGCCCAGAUUCUCGAGUCUGAAGGUAAACUAGCAGACUUGUGUUCUGUGAUUGAACAGUGUGCUUUUGCUACAGCUCAAGAAUACAGAAUUAAAGCCUGUUUAGCUUGUUUCUGAUGAUCUGUUUUACUGACUUGAACAGGAGAACGCCAAGCCCAUAUCAACAUAGCUGAUGGUAAGAAGAGUUCUGUAAUCUUGGAAUCAGAAGCUGCAAAGAUGGACCAAGUCAAUCGAGCAUCAGGUUUGUAUUAAUUAUAUUUAGUAAGCAUGAACGUAAGCCAUUCUUUCUUCAGUUUUGUUUCAUCACAACAUUUCUUCUUUGUUGUAUUGAUUUUCAGGCGAGGCAGAAGCAAUAUUAGCUAGAGCACAAGCAACAGCGAGGGGGCUGACCAUGUUAUCUCAAUCCCUCAAGGAAACUGGUGGAGUGGAGGUUUGUAUAAUAUGAGAUUAAACUGAUGUUAGUCGUAUGCUGCUACUUAUAACUUGAUCCUUCAGACGAGUUUGGUUUCACACAUUGAGGCAUCUAACCUUUGUUUCCCAUAAAUGAUUCUCUCUGACAGAUUCUAACUAGAGGUUUCUGUGGCUUAUAGGACUUAUAAGAAACUUGUUUAGCUUUCCAAAAUAAAGACUCAUUUUUGAUCGUGUUGUAAUAUGCAGGCUGCGAGUUUGAGAGUUGCGGAGCAAUACAUUCAAGCUUUUGGGAACAUAGCCAAGGAGGUAAACAACUAUGAAACACAACUUUACCAUACCAUAUAGUUAUCUCAUCCUAUCUACUUGACAAUCUCUUCCUCCCUUUGGGUAUCAAUCAAAAAGGGCUAAUAAAUUGUGUUUCAUGGUUAGGGUACAACGAUGCUGCUUCCGAGUUCAGCUGCAAAUCCUGCAAACAUGAUCGCUCAAGCCUUGACAAUGUACAAAAGCCUCGUCCCCAAUGGUGGUAUCCAGGAAACUUCAGCUGUGGAAUCCUCGUCUAAAGCGAAAUAGAAGUGGUGGUGGUGGUAGAAGAGCUAGGAACAAUGAUAAUUCUUUUGAUCUGUGUAACAGCUUUUCAGUUUGAUAUAUGAGAAACAGUUUAUCUUUCUAAGUUUGCAAACAGAAAAACAAAUCUAAGCUCUAAUUUCUGAAAGGAGAUUUUUUGCACCAAGUUUGGUCUUGAAAUGUUUAGUGUCUGUUCUUUUGCAUCUUCAUUUCUUGUUUGGUUGCUAUUGUGGAGUGUCAAGUAGAUUUUGUGACAAGGAUAAGAAACUGUUGCUAGAGGAAGAACGGUGUAGGUCGUUGACAGACAAGAGCCUCGAAGAAUCUAAUGGUGACAUGAACAUUUUUUAGUCUUUUUCUUGAAAUAGCAUGUCUUGGCUGUCUGUACAACCACUGUAUAUAUCCUCUUUGUUGUCUUCUACUAUAUAUUUGCUCAGCUUCUAAUAAGGAAAAUUAAAAAAAAGGAUCAGAAAGGGAGUUUCAUUGUUUGCUUCACAGUUCUUCCCAUCGUACUUUGUUUAUUUUUUUUUCACCAACAUUACCAUGGGAGCCUGUGCGAGCACGCCUAAGGAGUCUGAUAUUCUUGAAACCCCUGCCACCACUGAAAACGCUGUGGUCGAGUCCAUGAACGUCCAAACCGAAGCUGUAUCUCAGGUUUUUGUGGAUCAAAUAUCAUUUUGGUUUCUGAGCAAAAUAGUUAAUGCUUUUGGAUGAAAGAUGUGUAAUUACUUUUGUUCUUCCUUGGCGAGUUACAGGAGAAGGCAGAUGAAGUUGUUGCAGAGAAGAAGGAAGAGUCUAAUGUAGAUGAAGCAGAGAUACAGAAGGAAGCUGAACCAGCCAAGCCUGCAGAGGUUGAACCAGCUCCAGAGGCUGUGAAGACCGAAGAAACUCAAGAAGCUGCUGUUGAUGAGAAAGCUUCUUCUGGUGAGACUGAGCCACCAAAACAAGAGGAGGCUACAACCGCCAGUGACACCAAAACUAACGAAGAGCCUCUUGUAACCCUUUAAACUCAUUUCUCAACUCUGUAAUAUGUACGUUUCAUUGUCGUAUUUCUAGUGCUGCCAAUGUAUAACCUAUCACAAUAAACGAAUUUCUAUAAUUUUCCAGCGUGGUAAGUAUUUAUUUGUUGGGCUUAGGUAUAAAUGGGCUUUAAAAUCAACUAAUGGUUUUUUGUUUAAGUAAAGGUAAAGCUAAGUUUUUGUCCCACUUCGGAACAAGUAGUGGAGUUGAUAGGUAUUGCUUAGAUAUAAAUAAAGAGGCUCUCUCUCACUAUCAAACCAUCUUUGCGCUUGGGGCAAUGACGCAGCUAAUGAGGUACUAACCGAGGCGCGUCUAUUGCUGGUUGAAAACUAUUUCCAAACCCCCUCCUGGGCCUGAGCUUGUCUUGGGCCUUCGAGAAUUUCUGGAAGGGCUCCCUUCGGGGUAAAGCUCUACAAUUCUUUAGUUUAAUUAUUUGUUUGUAGCUUUAUGAUUAUAGACUAAAAACGUUUUCUAUUAUCAUUCUAAACCACUACAUUUAUAGAAAAACAGAGGAAGACUUUUAAGUAUUAGCAAAAUUUACAGGGUUUAGAAUGAAAUGGGCUUUAAUGAUUCAUAAAACCUAGAUCUCGAUGUUUCAAAUUCAUACUAAUAUCAAGUGCUUGUUCUCCCACAUCGAUUACAAAACUCAAGAACAUUAAAGAAUCUGAACUUUAAAUUAGACGCAGAGCAGCGUGAUAAAGACUCACGGAGCCGUGCAGUGGGGGCAAAGCGAACUAUUCUUUCGCCUUUUACUAAAGAAUACCGUGUUCUCUCUGUAUUUAGCGGCAUACGCCUAUUUUUGGAAAAGGGUUUAGAAAUAAACCUCCAUCAGUUCUUUAGUUUAAAAUUAUAAUAUUUUUGAGGUAUAUAGGUGUCAAAAUAUUACUCACAAUAUUUGAUAAGUGUUUGUCACUAUGGUUCUUUUCUCCCACAGUUACCACUAACUAAAGAUGAGAAGUAUCUCUGUUUGGUUCAAUGUAGUAGUCUUUAAUGAGUGAUUUCAGAUCGUUUUGGUGCCGCAGCACGGUGAACAUAUGUUGAAACGCGAGGCUUAUGACGGAAGAUGCAGGUUGAGACUUGAGAGGAAAGAUAAUUGAUGGUUUACGCGGCGGACCUUGGAAGAUCUUGUUAAGAGUGUGAUGAAUGAAAGUAGUGAGGUUGGAAGAAUCAUGAUAAAUGGAGAUGUGUUUUGACUUUUGAGCGACUAAGGUUUUGCUGAUGGUUAUAUCUGCAAAUUUAAACAUAACUUAAUUGAUCUUGUGAAGACAUGAAUUAUCAUUUCUAGUCUUUCCAUUUAGUUCGGUUUAAUUGGUCAUGUUUGGCUUUGUUUGAGUCUCGGAGAGAUAGAUUUGUAGUAGGGCAUGUUGCAUUGCAUGCUCUUCGUAUGUCCCGUAAGAUUAGCUAUUUAAUAAUUUUAUUUUAUUUUGGAACGAAAUUAGCUUAUAACUUUUUUAAAGCUUAUAAACAAAAAGGAAAUCACGGAAUUUAAUGAAUGCCCAGUUGUAGAUUUGGCAUAAUCGUAACAACUUUGCAUGUCAUCUUUGCAAUCCAUAAGAUUAUGUAUCUGGAACUCUGGAAGCAUAAAAAUAAUAUCGUAGUUUUGAUUAUGCAGUUAAUUAGCAUAUAAUAUAAUUAUGCUAUAGAUUAUUAGGGGAUAAUUUCCGGAAACUAAAAUAGCAAAAGGAAAUCACAGAUUGUAAAAAAAUUAAAUAAACGAAACUAAAGACUUGGCUUAUUCGUGGAGGCUUGAAUCAUUCAACUCAUAAUAGCACUUUCCUAAACUUCAGGUCAUCUGCAACUGAAAUUUUAUAAACAAAACAUAAGAACAAGAAUAAAAAAAAACGAAGGGACAGAAACAGAAAUGGGAUCAAAGUUUCAUGCUUUUAUGUUUCCAUGGUUCGGUUUUGGCCACAUGACUGCAUUUCUACAUCUGGCUAACAAGCUAGCUGAAAAAGGGCACAAAAUCACUUUCUUGCUACCCAAGAAAGGUCUGAAGCAACUUGAACCUCUCAAUCUGUUCCCAAAAUCCAUUGUCUUUCACAUUCUUACCAUCCCUUCCGUCGAUGGUCUCCCUGAUGGUGCCGAAACAACCUCGGAUAUCCCCAUCACGUUAGGUAGUUUUCUGGCCUCAGCUAUGGAUCGCACACGUGGCCAGGUCGAAGAAGCGGUUCGAUUAGGUAAACCGGAUCUAAUUUUCUUUGAUUUUGCUCACUGGAUUCCGGACAUAGCUAGAGAAUAUGGGGCCAAGAGUGUGAAUUUUGUAACGAUCUCUGCAGCAUGUGUAGCUAUCUCAUUUGUCCCUGGUCGUAGUCCAGAUGAAUUAGCUAUACCUCCUCCGGGGUAUCCUUCCUCCAAGGUGUUGCUUCACGGACAAGAAACCAGUUCCUUGUCAUUUCUGUCCUAUCCCUUUGGUGAUGGAGUGACGUUUUACGAACGGAUCAUGACAGGGCUUGUGAACUGUGAUGUCAUAUCGAUAAGGACUUGCCAGGAAAUGGAAGGAAAAUUCUGCGAUUUUAUCGAAAGGGAAUUUCAAAGAAAAGUUCUCUUGACGGGUCCAAUGCUUCCUGAGCCGGACAAUAUCAAACCACUCGAAGAUCGAUGGAGUCACUGGCUGAACCGGUUCGAACCAGGAUCAGUAGUAUAUUGUUCACUUGGCAGCCAAAUCAUUCUUGAGAAGGAACAAUUUCAAGAACUAUGUUUAGGAAUGGAGCUGACUGGUUUACCAUUUCUUGUGGCGGUAAAGCCACCAAAAGGCGCAUCUACGAUUCAGGAAGCCUUACCAAAAGGGUUUGAAGAGCGGGUUAAGGAGCGUGGAGUGGUUUGGGGAGAAUGGGUGCAGCAGCCACUGAUAUUGGCUCAUCCAUCAAUAGGUUGCUUUGUGAGCCAUUGCGGGUUCGGGUCAAUGUGGGAGUCUCUGUUGAAUGACUGCCAAAUAGUGUUUAUUCCACAUUUGGGUGAACAAAUAUUCAACACCAGGCUAAUGAGCGAGGAACUUGAGGUCUCGGUGGAGGUGAAAAGAGAGGAAACAGGAUGGUUUUCAAAGGAGAGCUUAAGCGGUGCGGUUAGGUCAGUAAUGGACAAAGACACCGAGCUAGGGAACCUAGUAAGGAGGAAGCAUGCUAAAUGGAAGGAGUCUCUACUUAGUUCUGGAAUAAUCAGUGGUUAUGUCAAUAAGUAUGUAGAAGCACUGGAGAAACUAGUCUAAAAGAGACGAAACAUGAAAUAAAUUGCAUGUGUUUCAAAAAAAAAAAAAAAAUGAAAUAAAUUGCAUUGGUCUUAGUAACGUUGCUAUCAUUAACUAUACCACAUAACAUAAAAUGAAUUUUCUAUCUUGUAAGAUAAACUUCUAUAUAACAAUCAAAUCACUCCUUGUAGUGAUUUCCUGAAAGAGUUGCCAAAUAAUAAAUUCAAAGAAUUUAAAGAAAUAUUGGGACAUUGGUAUGAAAAUGAAGUUUUAGCUUGUGAGUUUCAAUAUCUUAGUCUGUUUUCUUUUCAUUCGUGUAUCCUACUUGUGUUUUCUUUAUUCACUAGUUACUUAUUAGACGUUAUUAGUCAAGUAGUGAAUACAUUGAAAAAUAAAAAAAUGGUUUCAUUUGAAUUAUUGUUGUUAGAUAACGAUAUAAGUAUAAUAUUUCAUCAAUCUUCAAAAAAAAAAAAGUAUAAUAUUUCAUCUUUCUUUAUUGAUUUUCAUUAGUUAUACGAUUUGGUGUUAAUCCGGGAACAAGGAUUUCAACAUCUACUGAUGAACAUUUUAUUGGUAACUUCCGAUCUAAAUUAUUUCAAAAAAAUUAUUUUGUUCUCAGUAAAUCAUUAAUUCAAAAUCAAUAUCAUAUAAUAAAAACGAAUCUUAUAUCUUGUAAGAUAAACUCUUAUAAAACAAUCAAAUAAUUCAUUGUAAUGAUUUCAUAAAAGAUUUGGCAAAUAAAUUACUUUAAAUAAUUUUAAGAAAUAUUGGGACAUCAAUAUGAAAAGAAAGUCUUAGUGGUUAGUUUCUAUAUCGUAGUGUGUUAUCAUGUUAUUGAUGUGUCCUACUUUUGUUUCCUUCGUUCAUUAGUACUUUAUGAGUUUAUUCUAAUAUAUAUAAAGUAAACAUUCAAUAAAACUUAUGUUGUGUCACUUAUAGUUAAUUCUAGAUUAAUUGAAGAUCUUUCUUUUGACAUGAGAUCUUCUAGAAUCUCACAUUCAAAAAUUGUAAUAAAUAUUAUUGUUUUGUCUAAAUUUUAGGCUUCUUUAUUAUUAUUUUUUUUAAUUUUAUUUAUUUCUGUAAAUUGAAUUUUCGGAUAAAAAUAUAAAUUUUACCGGAUAUAUAAAUACCGAAUAUUUAGAUUAAACAAUCAUGGAUUAUAAAAAUGAUGAUUUGGACAGAAAACAAAAGAAGAUCAUGAAUUGCACUCAAAAUAGAAAGAUCAUGAAUAACUUCAAAAUACUAUAUAUAUAUAUAUAUAUAUAAUAAGAUCCCCCGGCGUAUUAUUAACAUGUAUUACACGUGAUUGUAUCUGAUGUGAUCGUUUUAUUGAUAUUAGAUUUUGAUCCGUGUUUUUUUAAAUGCUAAUAGAUAUUUUAUACUGUGAAAUUUAAUAAAAAUAUAUCAAAUAUUUUAUUAGAAAAGUUAAAAAAUAUAUAUAUAUAUAUAUAUAUAUCCUAUAUAAUAUGUCAACCCUAUAUGACGUGGGUCCAUUCAACGUUUGUUUUGUUGAUAGCAUCACAAUUGAACAAACCGCUAAUCUUACCUAACACAUAAGCAUGGCAAUUUUAUUACAAAAUAAACUAUACAUCCUAUCUAUGUCAACACUAAAUGACGUGGGUCCAUUGUACCACUAAUCUUACCCAACACAUGAGCCUGGCAAUUUUAUUUCAAAAACACUAUAUAUAUAUCCUAUCUUUGUCUACCCUAAAUGAUGUGGUCCAUUCAUUCACCUUGUGUUUUGUCGAUAAUAUCAUAAUUGAGCAACAGACGACCGCUCAUCUUACCUAACCACAAGAAAAACAAAGAAGCAAUGAUUCUACAAAAAGUAAAAACAAAACAAAUAUGAAAAUUUGUCUCUCUCGUGGCUGUUUAUUAUGCCGGCUCUCUUGUGGCUAUAUUUAAGAUAAGGUGUACGAUUUGGGAGAGAAGAAAGAGAUAGAAAAGAAAAAGAAAAAAAAAAAACAGAAAUGGGAUCAAAGUUUCAUGCUUUUAUGUUCCCAUGGUUUGGUUUUGGUCACAUGACUGCAUUUCUGCAUCUGGCUAACAAACUAGCGGAGAAAGGUCACAAAAUCACUUUCUUGCUCCCCAAGAAAGCUCUGAAGCAACUAGAACCUCUCAGUCUGUUCCCAGGAUGCAUUGUCUUUCACACUCUUACCAUCCCUUCUGUGGAUGGUCUCCCUGAUGGCGCCGAAACAACCGCGGAUAUACCAAUCACCUUAGGGGGCUUUCUGGCCUCAGCUAUGGAUCGCACACGCGGUCAGGUCGAAGAAGCGGUUCGAUUAGGUAAACCGGAUCUGAUUUUCUUCGAUUUUGCUCACUGGAUUCCUGAAGUAGCUAAAGAGUAUGGAGCCAAGUGUGUGAAUUUCCUAACGAUUUCCGCAGCAUGUGUAGCUAUCUCAUUUGUCCCUGGUCGUAGUCCAGAUGAGUUAACUGUUCCUCCUCCGGGGUACCCUUCGUCCAAGGUGGUGCUUCGCGGACAAGAAACCAACUUCUUGUCGUUUUUAUCCUAUCCCUUUGGUGAUGGAGUAACGUUUUACGAACGGAUCAUGACAGGGCUUGUUAAAUGCGAUGUCAUAUCGAUAAGGACUUGCCAGGAAAUCGAAGGAAUAUUCUGCGAUUUUAUCGAAAGGGAAUUUCAAAGAAAAGUUCUCUUGACGGGUCCAAUGCUUCCUGAGCCGGACAAUAUCAAACCACUAGAAGAUCGAUGGCAUCAAUGGCUGAACCGGUUUGAACCAGGAUCAGUAGUAUACUGUUCGCUUGGCAGCCAAAUCAUUCUUGAGAAGGAAGAAUUUCAAGAACUCUGUUUAGGAAUGGAGCUGACCGGUUUACCAUUUCUUGUAGCGGUAAAGCCACCAAAAGGCGCAUCUACCAUCCAGGAAGCCUUACCAGAAGGGUUCGAAGAUCGGGUUAAGGAGCGUGGAGUGGUUUGGGGAGAAUGGGUGCAGCAGCCACUGAUAUUGGCUCAUCCAUCGAUAGGUUGCUUUGUGAGCCAUUGUGGAUUUGGGUCAAUGUGGGAGUCUCUAUUGAAUGACUGCCAAAUAGUGUUUAUUCCACAUUUGGGUGAACAAAUAUUCAACACCAGGCUAAUGAGCGAGGAACUUGAGGUCUCGGUGGAGGUGAAAAGAGAGGAAACAGGAUGGUUUUCAAAGGAGAACAUAAGCGGGGCGGUUAGGUCAGUGAUGGACAAGGACACCGAGCUAGGGAACCUAGUAAGGAGGAACCACGCCAAAUUGAAGGAGUCUCUACUUAGCUCUGGAAUAAUCAGUGGUUAUGCCAAUAAGUACGUAGAAGCACUUGAGAAACUAGUCUAAAAGAGACAAAACAUGAAAUAAAUUGCUUUGCAAGGAAACUUUGUUGGUCUUAAAUAAUGACGUCAUAUGAAUAAAGGAUGUCAUAUCGCUCGACUUAUUUGCUUAUUUUGUUAAUCACUUAUGAAUAAACGAUGUCAUAUCGUUGGUCUUGUAUGAAUUUUACAUGAGGAUUCCAUGCUUCUUCAAUAAAUUUCGAUCUCUUGUGUCAUGUGACUUCUGUGUUAGCUUUGUGCGUUACUAUCUUAUGUUUAUUUUUUUAUAUAACUUAAGUGGACCACACAAAAAGAUGAUCAAUAUUCGAAAACAAAUCAAAACAAAAUAAAAGAACGUUUCUUAACCUAAAAGGAUAAAAAAAAAAGAACAAAAUUUGGGUUCACCCCCUAUCGUGAAUUGUGAAAUUCACCCCAUUCUUUUCUACUAAUCAAAUUGUCAUGUAGGAUUAAUGAAAAAAUGAUAUUAAAAUUAGAAAAAAAACAAGGAAAAUAGCUUGAAAAUAAAAAAGGAGCUAACAUUGUUACGCCUUCCAUCGACUUCUUCUCUUCAUCGCUCACAGAGAAGAUAUAGGAAUACAAGGGUUUGUCAAAUUUGAGUCUCCAAUUCUAUGCUUUCAAAUCCAAUUUCGAUUUGACCAUUUCCAAGCCAAAUCAAACCAUGUUCAUCCAUGGAUUUUCUUCUUCUUCAUGCUAUUUGUACAUCAUCGCCGGCUUCAACCAAAAUCCAUUUUAUACUUCUGGAAAGAGUAUCAAUCAAACAACAAGGAAGCAUAAAAUGGAGAGUUAAAAGAUAAGUUUUUUUUAUUGGAAUUGAACUUUUGAUAAAUCUACAAAGGAAGUGGAUCAAAUAGAAGUUUCCAAGAAGAAGAACAAAGAAGAGUAGCAGAGAACAAGCUACAAAGAAGGACGAAGAAGAAGAGACUUGAGGCGCAAGAAACGACCUAGCCAUGGUUUCGAAGUUUAUGAAUUCGAAGUUUCAUUCUUUUAUGUACCCAUGGUUUCCUUUUGGUCACAUGACUCCAUAUCUACAUCUACCUAACAAACUUGCCGAGAAAGGUAACAGAAUCACCUUCUUGCUGCCCAAGAAAGCUCAGAAACUACUUGAGCAUCUCAGUCUCUUCCCACAACACAUCGUCUUUCACCCUCUUACUAUCCCUCAUGUCGAUGGCCUCCCUCCUGGCGCUCAAACAGCUUCCGAUAUCACCGUCUCCUUGGGGAAGUUCCUGACCCAAGCCAUGGACCUCACACGUGAUCAGGUUUUCUUCGAUUUCGCUUGUUGGGUCCCCGAGAUGGCCAAAGCAUAAAAAGUGAAGAGUGUGUCUCAUCAUGUGGUAUCUGCGUCUUCAAUGGCUUAUUCACUUGUCCCAGAUGCUGAACCAGGAGUUCCCCCACCGGGUUAUCCUUCAUCCAAGGUCACUUUCGUAAGCACGACGCCCCUAUUCCUUGUCGCCAACGGCCUCAGGUGCCCUUAAGAGGAUUAUUAAUCGGAUUAUCACAGGCCUUAAGAACUGCGACGUCAUCUCGUUUAGGACUUGCCAAGAUAUCGAAGGUAAGUUCUGCGACUUCAUCGAGCUUCAAUACCAGAAGAAGGUUCUCUUAACCGGUCCAAUGCUCCCUGAGUUAGGCAAGACUAUAGCACUAGAAAAUCAAUGGAAUCACUGGUUGAGAGGUUUUGAACCAGGGUCUGUUGUGUUUUUGUGCACUAGGCAGCCAAAUCAAUAUAGAGACGGAUCAAUUCCAAGAACUUUGCCUUGGAAUGGAACUAACAGGCUUACCGUUUCUUGUAGCGGUAAAGCCACCAAAAGAGGCAAAGAAGAUUCAAGAAGCUUUACCAGAAGGGUUUGAGGAGCGGUCGAAGGGUCGUGGAGUGGUCUGGGGAGGAUGAGUGCAACAACCAUUGUUAUUGGCUCAUCCAUCAAAUAGGCUUGCUUCCAUAUUUGGCUGAUCAAGUUCUCAACAUGAGAUUGUUGACCGUGGAACUAGAGGUUGCGGAUUUGCGGUUGAAGUGCAACGAGAAGAACCAGGAUGGUUCUCUAAAGAUAUAACCUGAGAGAUGCAAUCAUAUCCGUGAUGGUGAACUUGGAAAUUACGUCAGAAGGAACCACACGAAGUGGAAGCACUACAAGAAAACAUCGGGAUACUGAGGGAAAAAAUCGUCGGUAUGUCGUCGGAAUAACGUUAUUCCGAGGACAUACCGACGAAAAAAGUCCUCGGAAAUAACUCCUCGGAAAUUCAUAAUUCCUCGGAAUUCCGUCGGAAUUUUCCGACGGAAUUCCGAGGAAACAAAAUUCCGAGGAAACUCCGAGGACACAAUGUUCGUCGGAAGGUUCCUCGGAAAAUACCGAAGGAAUUCCGAUGGUCCAAUCCUCGGAAGUUUCGACGAAAUAUUUCUCGGAAUAUUUAUCGGAAAAUUCCGAGGGAAGAAAGUUCCUCGGAAAAUUCCGAGGAACAUUUGUUCCUCGGAAAAUUCCGAGGAACAUUUGUUCCUCGGAAANNNNNNNNNNNNNNNNNNNNNNNNNNNNNNNNNNNNNNNNNNNNNNNNNNNNNNNNNNNNNNNNNNNNNNNNNNNNNNNNNNNNNNNNNNNNNNNNNNNNNNNNNNNNNNNNNNNNNNNNNNNNNNNNNNNNNNNNNNNNNNNNNNNNNNNNNNNNNNNNNNNNNNNNNNNNNNNNNNNNNNNNNNNNNNNNNNNNNNNNNNNNNNNNNNNNNNNNNNNNNNNNNNNNNNNNNNNNNNNNNNNNNNNNNNNNNNNNNNNNNNNNNNNNNNNNNNNNNNNNNNNNNNNNNNNNNNNNNNNNNNNNNNNNNNNNNNNNNNNNNNNNNNNNNNNNNNNNNNNNNNNNNNNNNNNNNNNNNNNNNNNNNNNNNNNNNNNNNNNNNNNNNNNNNNNNNNNNNNNNNNNNNNNNNNNNNNNNNNNNNNNNNNNNNNNNNNNNNNNNNNNNNNNNNNNNNNNNNNNNNNNNNNNNNNNNNNNNNNNNNNNNNNNNNNNNNNNNNNNNNNNNNNNNNNNNNNNNNNNNNNNNNNNNNNNNNNNNNNNNNNNNNNNNNNNNNNNNNNNNNNNNNNNNNNNNNNNNNNNNNNNNNNNNNNNNNNNNNNNNNNNNNNNNNNNNNNNNNNNNNNNNNNNNNNNNNNNNNNNNNNNNNNNNNNNNNNNNNNNNNNNNNNNNNNNNNNNNNNNNNNNNNNNNNNNNNNNNNNNNNNNNNNNNNNNNNNNNNNNNNNNNNNNNNNNNNNNNNNNNNNNNNNNNNNNCUUUCCACAAAAUUUGCAUGAAACCCGCUGUUCAUCCGCCCUCCAAUAAAUCAUGCAGUUGUCUCUGCAUACAUCUAUUACCUGAUACGAUAAACCAAGACCAGCUACGAGUUUCUGAACCUCGUAGUAUGAGCCAGGAGCUACAUUAUCUUCAGGUAGAAUACCUUUUACAUAAUCAGCAAUCGCAUCCACACAGUCUUCAGCCAAAUUAUAAUCCGUCUUAAUGCCCAUCAAUCUUGUAGCAGAUGAUAAAGCUGAAUGACCAUCUCUGCAACCUUCGUACAAUGGUUGCUUUCCAGCAUCCAACAUAUCAUAAAAUCUCCUAGCUUCGGCAUUGGGUAAAUCUUCCCCUCUAAAAUGAUCAUUUACCAUCUGCUCAGUACCUACACCGUAAUCUACAUCCGUUCUAAUUGGAUCUUCUAAUCUAACCGGUGGCUGAGGUUCGCUAGUACUACCAAGUUCAUAAUCAGUUUCUCCAUGAUGAUACCAAAUUUUGUAACUUCGUGUAAACCCACUCAAAUAUAAAUGAGUCCAAACAUCCCAUUCUUUAAUAACUUUUUUAUUUUUACAAUUAGAGCAAGGACAUCUUAACAUACCUGUUUUUGCUUCCGGUUGUCGGUGAACUAACCCCAUGAAUUCGGUUAUACCUUGUUGGUAUUCUUCCGUAAGCAAUCUCGUGUUCGGAUCCAAAUGAGGUCGAUCGAUCCAAGAACGAAAAUAAUUGGAAGAAGACAUGUUUUUUAUGAAUCAAAUUCGUGUGUAAAGAAAGUGAGAGGGAGGAUGAAGAUAUGGUGUGAAUGAAGAGGAAGAGGGGUGCUUGUAUUUAUAGGUGAAAUCCUGCCGACGGUCCGAGGAAAUUCCGACGGAAUUCCGAUGCAAACGGCUAGUUCGUCGGAAUUUCCUCGGAAUUUUUAAAAUCCCCCAACGGCUCUCCAACGGCUCUCUAACGUCUAUAAUAUUUCCUCGGAAUUCAUCGGUUUUUUCCGAGGAAUACUAGUUUCCUCGGUAUUCCGUCGGAAUAUUCCGACGAAAUGUGUUUUCCUCGGAAUUCCGUCGGAAUAUUCCGACGGAAUUCCGAGGAAGCAAAAUUUUGUAUUUCCUCGGAAUUGCCUCGGAAAUGCCUCGGUAUAUUCCGAGGAAUUCAUUUUCCGUCGGAUCGUCCGUCAGAAUACCGCUGUUUUCUUGUAGUGAAGGGUUAUUUGUUCAGACGUGGAGUAAUGAGUGGUUAUGUUGACAUGUACGUAGAAGCAUCAGUGAAUUUCGUCCAUAAAUUGAAUUAUGAAAUACUUUGUAGCGUUUUAACAAAUAAAGUCGUGUGUAUGAAUAUUAGAAAAUUACGGAUAGUGAAUUAAAGAACGCGAAAAACGUAUUUCAAAACAUGAUUACGUACGUGAGCCAUUCUUUCGUACUUAUCACGUGAUUGAAUAGACUAAAAUCAUAGGCUAGUUACGUACUAUAUUUCUUUCUAAACUCAUAAUAAGUUUCACACAUUUUCUCAUUUAUUUCUAUUUACAUUUUCCUUUCAAAUAACAUCGGCUGUUGUUCCAAAAUAUCAGUCUCCUAAACUUUCAUAGGUACAAAAUACAAAAUAUCUAUAGACUACAACUAUGAAUUUGUUAUUCACUGUUAUCAAGUAUACAAUGAAAAGUAUAGUGGCCAACUUGUUCACGGUGUGGCUUGUUUUUCCGGUCCAGAUCAGAUCCGAUCUCGGAUCUGGAUCCGUGUAUUGUGCUCAGCUCUAAAUAAAUGGCAUAAUUAACUUAAUAUUCACGUAGAAUGCACUACUUACACAUAACCCUUACUAAUUAUUAACCUUAAUCAACCACUAGCCAGACCCUGCCCUGAUAAGAAGCUGUAGAUGCAUGAGAUUCCAACCUCCAAAAUAUAUAUAAAAUUUUCGGCCAUUUUUUCUUAAAUUGUUCAUUAGUCUAGUGGUAUUGAGAAAGUUGGAACCCUUGCACCCUGAGUUUGAACCAUGAGUUGGUUGUUAGCUUUUUUUUUUUUGAAAUAGUUCAGGACCGCUACUACCACUAGCAAGUAUUAUAAUAUACAAGAUAUGAGCCUAUUGCGUCGUAACGGGUUUUUGUUUGAUGUUUUAAUUUAAUAAAAACCAUAAAAUAAUAAAUUAUUUUAUUAUAGUAUUAUGAUUUUUUUUUUGCAUAUGUUGUUUGAGAUUUAUUUUAUAAUUAAAAUUUAUUUUCACAUAUAAAUUCAAGUUAAUAUUUGUAUUUUAUAAUCAUGGUGCAUAGAUGAAUUGUUAUAAACUUUAUAUAUAUCUUUUAUCUUGUAGCAUAUCAAAUUGUAGAUGUCUUGCGACAACUUUUGCAUCUUGUUGCUUCACAUUUUUGCAUCGAGCACAUGGACACAAUAAAGUUUGCCGCUUCUCGUAAUAUGCUUGAUUACACCCAAAUUGAAUAAAUGCGUUAAUGCCCCCGAAAAAUACUUCUGAAACGGAAUUACUCUCAGGAUCAAUCCUUUGAUCCACCCAUUCCCUAGAUUCAAAGUAAAAAGACAUAGUUUUUGUUUACAAAAUUUGGGUAAACAUCAAAACUUCUUAAUGCUUCAUCCGUGAGAUGUCUAUAUAUUAGAAAGUAGCCACGCUUUAUCCACUAAAGUAGCGUGGCUUUUGAAAAACAUCACUGCAUAAAGCAUCUCAGCCACGGUACAGCCAUAAAUAAACCGUGGCUAUGUUACAUUUGGUCAAUACGAUUGGACAUAACACUACUAUUUUGAUGUCUAUAAAAACAAAACGUAGCCACUAAUUAUUGUAGUGGUUAAAUCGUGGCUAGGUCUGUUCCCACAAAAAAAUACGUUGCUAGUUCGUGGCUAGUGUAGCCACACUACUUUUUCGUGAUUUAAUCGCGUCUUUUUUUUUGGGUUUUUCGUGGCUAAUAUUUUUUCCGUGUCUCCGACGUGGCGGUUGCAUGGCUUAUAGCCAUGGUUAUGUAGUGGCACUACCAUGGCUAUGCGGUAGAUUUUUACUAGUGGUUGACAAUGAGAAAGUUGAAGUAGGACACGUCGCAGGAGAGCUACAGAAAGCAGAUAUUCUAACCAAAGUGUUGGGAAGAAUCAAGUAUAAAGAGAUGAGAGAGCUAGUAGGAGUGCAAGAUGUCAAUCAAGUUCACUUCAAAUUUAAAGAGGAGAUUGUUGGAUAAGCUUGAGUUAGCUUGAGAAGCAAGCAACCUAAAUCAAUUGAGUUAUAGAUUAGAAAAUUAUCUAUUGAUGCUUACCUAAUGAGUUUAGGAAGUUUGUGUGGUUAUAUAUAUGGAGAUGCAUGCGUGUUGCAGAACAUAUGAGUUUGAGAGAAUAUUGUGUGCUUGAAUUUUGAGAGAUUAAUAUAAAGUGAGUACUUAUAAUUCUUUAGUUCAUAUUCUAGAGCCGGGACAAUAAUUGACCCCAACAAAGGGUAAUGAUGAUAGUUAAUGUUGUGUACGAGGCUUGUGUUGGCUCUAGGCCUCCAGUCAAUGAAAAAUAUGUUCUUUCGUUUCUCCGGUUCGUUAUCGUCGGGGACGUAUCCACGGUGGAACGAGACGAUGUCUCCGCUCUCGAGUUUCAUUUCUUUGACGAAACGACACCAUCCUUUAGUCAUCACGUAGCUCUGGCUACUGUUCCAAUACGAGUAGCAGAACCUUCACAUCUUUCCGGUUCUGUCUUCAAAGUCCAAUACCGUACCGGUUUGAUUGUCCUCUAAAGGGAAGUAGUUCUCUGCAUGUUGCUUUGGUAUCACGAGCCGGUUUAGUUUCCCGAAGUCGCUUUGUGUUAGCACUUUGUCGAACAUGUGCUCUCCUACCGCCGAGUUGAAGUUGUUGUUGCCGGAGCCACUAGCUCCGGUUUCGGUCGGUUCUUGCCUUCUUGGAUAGGGGUCGUCCUCGUUGUCGACAUAUUCAUCAAGACUAUUAUAUAAACUUUGUUCCAAUUCAAGAUCUUUUAAAAGGUAUUCAACUCUUUUUAGUGGAUGUAAUGAGUGGUUCUUGAGAAUGUGAGAUAAUAUUUAGCAGAUACAAAAAUACAAAAUAAAACCCACAACCGCAAAUAGUAAUCGGUAACUGGUAAUUAAAAUCAGGAGUUAUGAGCAAGUGAGGCACAAAUAAAACGCUAGAAUCCAGAAGAAGAAGACAGACGUACUCUUUAGUAUUUAGAAUUUAUCCAAAUAUUCUCUCUGCAUCAAGUUCCCAUUGAUAUUUUGUUAAAUAUUUUUCUUAAUUUUCAUAAAUGUGUAAAAUAAAUACGAAAUUCGAAAAACAACUAAUGGGUCAUAGUUAACCGUUGUGAUCAAGCCAGUCUGGUCCGACGUUUAGGAUACAUGUUGGGAUCUAAUCUAGGCUCGACACAAGCCAAGAGAGGUUUAGCCAUGAAUAAGUUUUCUUUCGAUUCGACUAGCUCGACUUUGGCCGUCUUUGGAGGAAGCGUCCAGUCGAAUCCUUGAAGAAGCCUUCCCAGCAAUGUAACAAUCAUAUAGGUCCCAAGCUUAGUCCCAACGCAGCCACGCCUACCGGUUCCAAAUGAAACGAGUCGCAUGUCUGGCUCAGUCAACAUCACUUCAUCACCGGUUAGGUGACGCUCAGGCUUGUAGAUGAGUGGCUCGUCCCAUGUUUUAGGGUUUCGACCAAUACCAGGACGACUCACUAGAAUAUGACUGCCUGUCACAUUAAAAUUCAAAAAUAUUAUAUAGAACUGAGUAAAGAAAAACUUAAAAGUGAUAACAAUAUCCAUGUCAUAAUGCAAAUACUCUAGAUAUAUCAAGAACAACAAUAAGUGAAAUUUUGCUUAAUCGCUUUGAAGUUGAAGGGAAAAAGGGGAACUUAAAAGUUAUUUAUAAGGUGAAUGUGUUCUAUAAUAAAAAAGUUAUUUAAUAAAUUAUCAUGGUGUUUUAGAAAAAUAAUAAUAAUAAUAAUAAUAACAAUAAUAAUAAUAAUAAUAAGGAGAUAUAACAAAAUUGUUCUUUUCAACAUGUUGGAACAGAAGUUAUUUUUAAAGGGCAAAUUACUGGAAAAACAAAAAAAGUUAAAAGAUAGAGAAAAUUAGUUUGAGAAAACAUGGGGUUUUUAAUGGAUACCUCCAGUUUUCCUAUUUAUUUAUAUAAAAAUAAAAAGGAUAUGAAAAAUAAAGAAAUUGUUAUUAGAAAUUAUCAUGGUAUUUUAAGCAAAAAAGUAACAAUUAUAAUUAGGAGAUAUAACAAAAUUAUUCUUUAUAUAUGUUGGAACAAAAAGGUUAUUUAAUUUAAAGGCAAUUUACUGAAGAAAAGCAGAAAGAUAGAUACAAUUAGGGUUGCGAAAACAUGUUUUAAUGGAUAUGUACAUCCAAUUUUCCUAAUUAAUUUUAGAAAAAUAAAAGAGAUAUAUACAUAUAUACCUUUUGGGACGAAAUAUCCAGCGAGAGUUGUGUCUUGACGAGCCAUGUGAGGGACGAGGAAAGGGUUGGUAGGGUGAAGUCUAAGAGUUUCUCUGAUACACGCUUUGACGUAAUUUAGCUUUGGUACAUCUGAUUCUUGAACAAGUCUAUCUUUUCCCACAACCCUAUCAAUCUCUUCCACUGCUUGUUCAAGAAUCUCUCUUUGGUUCAACAUUUCCGCUAAUGUCCACUCUAUUACAUUCACUGCAUUAUCAAUGCCCACUACAUCAAGAUCCUGCCAGCAAGAAAAAGAACUUAUCAACAAUAUAUACAAUUUAAAUUAGCAAUAAUGAGUAGAUUUUUAACACGAACAAUGGAAAGAUGUGUGAUUUCUUCUGGCGUAAGCAGCGGCUUGCCCUUAUCAUCUUUGAGAGUGAAGAGGAAAAAAAAAUGAAAUUUUUAAAAUUAACCGUAAACAUAUACUUCCCAAAACUAUCCACCUAAUCAACACUAAAUAACAUAAGAUCCGUAAACCUAUCUAAAUUCCCUAUACUAACCACCUAAUCUAUCCUAAACUAAUCAAACUAGAGAGGAAUUAGGGAGACUUACCAUUGCUACGAAUUAGGGAGGAAGUGGAGAGGAAGUGGAGAGGAAAGACGGAGCGAGCUCGCUCGGGAUAUAUAUAAGAUUACUUGUCCUCGUAAUUUCCUCGUAAACUUACGAGGAAUUACAGAGGCCCGCGUUUUCAGUUACGACGAAAUAGCGACGAAAUACAAAGGCUCGCGUUUUUGUUAACGACGUUUUUACGACGAAAAGGGUUACGUGGAAUUAACGAGUUAACCAGUUACGAGGAAUUAGCGAGCCUUUAUUUUCUAUAAAUACCCACAACUUUCCUUCUCAAACCACCCACACAAACUCACAAAACACACCCUAUCUCAAAUCACACUCCUCACCAAAAUACUUUUCAAAUUAGAAAUAUUUGAAAAAAAAAGAAGAAAAGAAGAUAUUAGAAUUUAUGUGGGUGAGACUUAAGUCUCGCCACAUAUAAUUCCAGUAUCUUUCUUUUUUUCUUUUUUUCUAGUUUUUAUACUCCCGCUUUUCACCAAUUUAGAAAAUUUGGAAAAAAAAAGAAGAGAAGAAGAUAUUUGGAACUCAUGUGGUCGAGACUUACGUAAGUCUCGCCAAAUGUGAUUCAAGCAUCUUUCUUCUCUUCUUUUUUUUAGUAUUUUUUAUAUUUUCGUCGUAAUAUCGUCGUUAUUUUACGACUCUCUUACGACGAUUUUGGCUUACGUGGAAUUAGCGUGCCCCGCUUUUUUAAUUUCGUCGUAAAGUCCUCGUGGCCUUACGAGGUGUUUACGACGAUUCUGUCCUACGUGGAAUAAACGAGUGCCACCUUCGUCAUUUACUUUACGUGGCAUUUACGUCAAUUUAAUUUACGAGGUCUUUACGACGAUUCUGUCCUACGUGGAAUAAACGAGGAUUACGUCGUACAUUCGACGUCAGGUUACGAGGAAUUAACGAGCAGUACGUUUAAAUCCCUAAAAUCCGAAACCCCAAACCCCAAAACCCCAUAUUCCUUAUCUUCUACUUCAUAUAUUCCAAACCCCAUCUUUAUUUUCAUUCCAAACCACAAUUCCCACAUUUACUUAUUUAUAAAACAAACUCCCACAAUUUCUUAUUCAUAAAACAAACUCCCACAUUACCUUAUUCAUAAAACAAACUCUCACAUUACCUUAUUCAUAAAACAAACUACACAAAAUCAAAUACAUCAAUCGGAUACAUCGACAUUCUCGUCAUCACUAGAAAUAUCAUCAUUUUCAUUAAACUCGUCUUCUACAGCUUCGUCUGUGGCAUCAUCGGUAAGAUCUUCGUAUUCGUGAUUAUGCGGAUCAAUGAGAAGGAUGUCAUCAACUUCUUGUUCAGGUUCCUCGACUUCAUUUAUCUGUUCUUCUUGCAAUGGUGGUUCUUCUCCACUGAUGAUUCGUCCUCGAGGUGUAACUUUGAUCACUGCUAACCAAUUUAUACCCGAAUCUCUCAUCCGAGGGUAUGGAAGGAAGCUAACUUGGUCUGCUUGUGAAGCUAAGAUGAAAGGCUCGAAUUUGUUGUACCGACGUCCACCGUUGACAUCAACUACACCAAAUUUGUUAGACCGAACACCUCUGUUGACGACGGGGUCAAACCAUUCACAUUUGAAGAUGACGCAUUUCAGCUUCAGUAUCCCUGGAAAUUCGACUUCAAUAAUCUCCGUCAAGAUCCCGUAGAAAUCUGUUUCCCCUUUCACACAUAUUCCAUAGUUACUGGUCGCCCGCUGUCUACCAUACUCAUAUGUGUGAAAAGUGUAGCCUCGUGUGAAAUACAUCUGUGAUGUGGUGACCUUUACAAGUGGAGAUUGAAUUACUUCGUGUAACCACUUAGGAUAAUCUGCAUCGUCGUCAUAAUCAACCUGCAAAAAUAAAGAGAACAUUAAAAUACAAAUCAUGUAUGAAAAAAUAGUUUGAGUUAUAAUACCUGAUUCCGCAACCACUUAAUGAAGUGCUGAUCUUUCCUUUUGUCUACGUCACUUGUGGAUAUACCAGGAAAUGUUUCUUCGACUUGAGAAACAAAUAGGCUGUAAAAUUAAUCACAUUUCAUAAGAAUGAAUCUCUUGCAAUUAUAUAAUUAAUUAUAUGUGUUUUGAAGUGUCCAUAUAUGUUACCUUUCAAAAUAACGCAUCAAUGGAUCCUCGCAAUUGAGUAGAAUAUAGGUGUGUGCACUAUGAGCGUCUUGUUCACUCGACCACCAAACCUCUUUAGACUUCCCACCGAGUCGUCCAAUCUGGCUAAAGAUCUCUGGAACACCAGCAACUGCAUAUGUUGGCGCAACUCCACCAUCAUCAUAUCUUCUUGGAGCUCUUCUACGGGUACGUACUUUUGACGCAAAGUAGUACGAUGUGAAGUGAGAAACUUCUUCCGUCAAACUUCCAGCAAUUAUAGAACCUUCAACUUUGGCGAGGUUCUUUGCUUUUCCCUUCAAAUAUUUCAUGGCUCGCUCAUACUGAUACAUCCAUCCGUAAUGUACAGGUCCACGAAGCAAUGCUUCAUAUGGGAGGUGGACAGCUAGAUGCUCCAUGACGUCAAAAAAUCCAGGAGGAAAUAUCUUCUCCAAGUUGCACAAUAAGAUGGGAAUGUUCUCCUGAAGCUGUUCUACAACUUCUUCUUUAAGAGUGCGUGUGCUCAGAUCCCUGAAAAAUGCUCCAAUGCCUUUUAUAUUCCAAAAACAAUUAAACACAUUGUUAGUCGUAUAUUAUUUUGAAAACUAGACCGUUAUAAAAUUAUUGUGAUAUAAAACACUACGAACCUGCAAGUGCUUCAUGUACGUUUGUUGGAAGUAGCUCCGCAAAUGCAAAGGGCAGUAGUCGUUGCAUAAAGACAUGACAAUCAUGACUCUUCAUCCCAGAGAACUUUUGACCCUUUUCAACACAUCUAGAGAGAUUUGAAACAUACCCAUCGGGGAACUUCACUUCUGAUGCCACCCAGUUGAACAACACCGACUUUUUUUCUGAAGACAGUCUGAAUAUCGGAACAGGAACUUGUCCAUUGCUUUUAAUAUGUAACUCGCUUCUUGAGCAAAUAUCCGGCAAGUCUAACCUCGAUUUUAUGUUGUCUUUUGUCUUCCCUGGGACAUUCAAUAUUGUAUUCAUGAUGUUCUCAAAGAAAUUCUUCUCUAUAUGCAUCACAUCGAGGUUGUGUCGCAGAAGAAGAUCCUUCCAAUAUGGCAACUCCCAAAAUAUACUCUUCUUGUGCCAGUUGUGAUGAACACCGUAAGAAUCAGGCAUAUUACGAGGGACAUGCCAAUUACCACCCCAACGAACUGUUUCGUUAGCUCCGUAGUAGUCGAUUUGUGCUUCAAUUUGUUCUCCAGUUAGAUAUGGUGGAGAAGUGUCUCUCACAACCCUUUUGUGCCUAAACAAAUUCUUGUUUCUUCGGUAAGGAUGGCCAAUGGGAAGAAAUCGACGAUGACAAUCAAACCAACUUGUCUUCCUACCAUUCUUCAGUUGAAACGCAUUUGUCGUUCCAUUACAAUAUGGACAAGCUAAUCUUCCAUGUGUAGUCCAUCCAGACAACAUCCCAUAUGCAGGAAAGUCACUUAUGGUCCACAAAAGCAUAGCUCGCAUCGUAAAAUUCGUCUUCGUUGAACAGUCAUACGUCCUCACCCCUGUUGACCACAAAUCCUUCAACUCUUUUAUCAGUGGUUGUAGGAAAACAUCCAGGGACCUUUUUGGAUGGUUCGGACCAGGUAUCAAUAUCGUCAAGAAUAGCAACUCCCGUUGCAUGCACAUCUCCGGUGGCAGGUUGUAUGGCGUAAGAAAGACUGGCCACAAUGAAUAUUGUCUCCCUGACAUUCCGAACGGACUAAAUCCAUCUGUGCAUAAUCCGAGAUACACAUUCCGGCUAUUGCUAGCAAAAUCCGGAUGUACUUUGUUGAAAUGUUUCCAGGCUCUUGCAUCUGAUGGAUGAGUCAUCUCACCAUCCGUCUGAGUAUGCUCGGCAUGCCAUCUCAUCUUUGCAGCAGUCUGCUCUGAUUGAUACAAUCUUUUCAAUCUGUCUGUAAUUGGUAGGUACCACAUCCUUUGGUACGGUACCCUAUUACGUCCCCGUCCUUGCGGUUUGAAUCGUGGCUUCUUGCAGAAUCGACAUACUUCUAGCUUCUCAUCAUCUCCCCAAUAGAUCAUGCAGUUGUCGAUGCAGACAUCUAUCAUCUCCGAAGGCAACCCAAGACUAUAAACUAAUUUCUGAAUCUCAUAAUAAGAAUCAGCAGACACAUUGUCUUCCGGCAAAUACUCUUUAAACAAGUCCGCCCAUUCGUUCAUGCAACUUUCAGGUAGAUUGUGAUCAGUUUUAAUAUUCAUCAUUCUAGCAGCCAACGACAAUUUAGAGAGACCUUCUCUACAACCACUGUAAAGUGGUUGAUUCGCCGCGUUUAACAUUCCGUAAAACUUUUUUGCAUCUAUAUUAGGUUCUUCAUCUUCAUCAUGAGCUACGAAUGCAUCAGCUACCAUAUCAUGAACUCUAUCAUAAUCUACCAUCUCCUCCUGAUGGUAACUAUGUUCAUUAUGCAAAUGAUGAUUAACCGGUUCUUCCUGAAAAUUGCUAUUACUACUACUAGCUUCAUUCUGAUCAUAAUUAUAACCUUCCCCAUGUUGAAACCAGAUAUAGUAAUUUGGCGUGAAACCUCUAUUUAUUAAAUGCUUCCAAACAUUUUCACGGUUUGCCAAUUUCGAAUUGUUGCAUUUCCGACAAGGACAGAACAUCUUACCACUUUCUUGGGCGAGCGGUGUUGAAUCUGCUUGGUGCAUAAAUGUCUCCAGCCCCGCAAGGUAUUCUUUCGUCACUCUCCCGUUAGCAUCUCUAUGCAUAUACAUCCAAUUCCGCAACUCGUAAAUAGUCCCAGAGCCAGCCAUUUUUUUUUCUUUCACGUUUUUUGUUGUUGGUGUGUUUAAAAUGAUGUUCCAACAUCCAUAUUUAUAGAAAAUUUCGAAUCUGGUAGUUGUAAUUUUACUAUGAAAUUACGACGAAAAUUAAUUGUAUGGCCAAAAAAAAAACGUGAGCCACCUACCAAGUUGGUGGAUUCAAAAUUUCCUCGUUAAGUACACGUAAAAUAUUUCGUCGUAAAGCACUCGCGAAAUUUACGUGGCUUUUACGAGGAAAAAUUAUUUCCUCGUAAAAGCCACGUCAGUUUACAUCGUCUUUACGACGAAUUUUUUUUGUCGUUACCUUACGACGAAAUAACGAUGCUUUUCUUUCUCAACGUAAUUUCCUCGCAAAAUCAACGUUUUUUUACGAGGAAUAGUUUUCCUCGUUAAACUUCCUCGGUAAAGAUACGUUUUCUUGUAGUGAAAGGGCAAUUUACUGGAAAAACAAAAAAAAAAGUUAAACGAUAGAGAAAAUUAGUUUGAGAAAACAUGGGGUUUUUAAUGGAUACCUCCAGUUUUCCUAUUUAUUUAUAUAAAAAUAAAAAGGAUAUGAAAAAUAAAGAAAUUUUUAUUAGAAAUUAUCAUGGUAUUUUAAGCAAAAAAGUAACAAUUAUAAUUAGGAGAUAUAACAAAAUUGUUCUUUCUAUAUGUUGGAACAAAAAGGUUAUUUAAUUUAAAGGCAAUUUACUGAAGAAAAGCAGAAAGAUAGAUACAAUUAGGUUUGCGAAAACAUCUUUAUAAUGGAUAUGUACAUCCAAUUUUCCUAAUUAAUUUUAGAAAAAUAAAAGAGAUAUAUACAUAUAUACCUUUUGGGACGAAAUAGCCAGCGAGAGUUGUGUCUUGACGAGCCAUGUGAGGGACGAGGAAAGGGUUGGUAGGGUGAAGUCUAAGAGUUUCUCUG